GGUAUUGUACUUUAAAAAAAAGAUUAGGUUUGCGUCUUAAAAUUGGGAGUUGUCCCCAAUGCCU
This 64-nucleotide transfer RNA is filed under the name Mactra chinensis. Its description in RNAcentral is "tRNA-Ala". Lineage: Eukaryota; Metazoa; Mollusca; Bivalvia; Venerida; Mactridae. The record is from RNAcentral.